UAGCAUAUCAAUAAGCGGAGGAAAAGAAACCAACAGGGAUUGCCCCAGUAACGGCGAGUGAAGCGGCAACAGCUCAAAUUUGAAAUCUGGCUCUCGGGCCCGAGUUGUAAUUUGUAGAGGAUGCUUUUGGUGAGGUGCCUUCCGAGUUCCCUGGAACGGGACGCCAUAGAGGGUGAGAGCCCCGUCUGGUUGGACACCGAUCCUCUGUAAAGCUCCUUCGACGAGUCGAGUAGUUUGGGAAUGCUGCUCUAAAUGGGAGGUAUAUGUCUUCUAAAGCUAAAUACCGGCCAGAGACCGAUAGCGCACAAGUAGAGUGAUCGAAAGAUGAAAAGAACUUUGAAAAGAGAGUUAAACAGUACGUGAAAUUGUUGAAAGGGAAGCGCUUGUGACCAGACUUGGGCUUGGUUGAUCAUCCGGGGUUCUCCCCGGUGCACUCUUCCGGCUCAGGCCAGCAUCAGUUCGCCCUGGGGGAUAAAGGCUUCGGGAAUGUGGCUCUCUCCGGGGAGUGUUAUAGCCCGCUGCGUAAUACCCUGUGGCGGACUGAGGUUCGCGCAUUCGCAAGGAUGCUGGCGUAAUGGUCAUCAGUGACCCGUCUUGAAACACGGACCAAGGAGUCGUCUUCGUAUGCGAGUGUUCGGGUGUCAAACCCCUACGCGAAAUGAAAGUGAACGCAGGUGAGAGCUUCGGCGCAUCAUCGACCGAUCCUGAUGUUAUCGGAUGGAUUUGAGUAAGAGCAUACGGGGCCGGACCCGAAAGAAGGUGAACUAUGCCUGUGUAGGGUGAAGCCAGAGGAAACUCUGGUGGAGGCUCGCAGCGGUUCUGACGUGCAAAUCGAUCGUCAAACAUGGGCAUGGGGGCGAAAGACUAAUCGAACCUUCUAGUAGCUGGUUUC
RNAcentral lists this ribosomal RNA (892 nucleotides) under Fusarium solani. RNAcentral describes it as "partial large subunit ribosomal RNA". It matches the Rfam family "Eukaryotic large subunit ribosomal RNA", at positions 36 to 958 of the family's 3401-position model. The record is from RNAcentral. Lineage: Eukaryota; Fungi; Ascomycota; Sordariomycetes; Hypocreales; Nectriaceae.